GAUGGUUUGACGAGAGCUAAACUGUCUCCUCUUAAAUAUAAAAAAAUUAAUUUUUAGGUGAAGAAGCCUAAAUUCAAUUGAGGGACAAGAAGACCCCUUUGAGCUUUAGUGAUCUAACAAAUUUUUAUAGCUGUCGAAAAGACAGCAGCGUAACAUUAAUGAAAACAUCAUUUGUUAAAAAUCUUUAGUUGGGGCGACUAAGGAACAUGAAAAGCUUCCUUUAAAUCUCUACUUAUGAGAAGUCAAUCUUAUACAAAGAUCCAGUACUUACUGAUCAGAGGAAAAAGUUACCACGGGGAUAACAGCGUAAUUCUUCUAGAGAGCUCAUAUCGAAGGAAGAGUUU
Molecule: ribosomal RNA, 344 nt
Filed under: Lunella coronata
Lineage: Eukaryota; Metazoa; Mollusca; Gastropoda; Trochida; Turbinidae
Description: partial 16S ribosomal RNA
Rfam family: Bacterial large subunit ribosomal RNA
Source: RNAcentral